CAGGCCUAACACAUGCAAGUCGAGCGAGACCUUCGGGUCUAGCGGCGGACGGGUUAGUAACGCGUGGGAACGUGCCCUUCUCUACGGAACAGUCCCGGGAAACUGGGUUUAAUACCGUAUACGCCCUUCGGGGGAAAGAUUUAUCGGAGAAGGAUCGGCCCGCGUCUGAUUAGAUAGUUGGUGGGGUAACGGCCUACCAAGUCGACGAUCAGUAGCUGGUUUGAGAGGAUGAUCAGCAACACUGGGACUGAGACACGGCCCAGACUCCUACGGGAGGCAGCAGUGGGGAAUCUUAGACAAUGGGCGCAAGCCUGAUCUAGCCAUGCCGCGUGAGUGAUGAAGGCCCUAGGGUCGUAGAGCUCUUUCGCUGGGGAAGAUAAUGACGGUACCCAGUAAAGAAACCCCGGCUAACUCCGUGCCAGCAGCCGCGGUAAUACGGAGGGGGUUAGCGUUGUUCGGAAUUACUGGCGUAAAGCGCGCGUAGGCGGAUUGGAAAGUUGGGGGUGAAAUCCCGGGGCUCAACCCCGGAACUGCCUCCAAAACUAUCAGUCUAGAGGUCGAGAGAGGUGAGUGGAAUUCCGAGUGUAGAGGUGAAAUUCGUAGAUAUUCGGAGGAACACCAGUGGCGAAGGCGGCUCACUGGCUCGAUA
Molecule: ribosomal RNA, 649 nt
Filed under: uncultured bacterium
Lineage: Bacteria
Description: bacterial SSU rRNA
Rfam family: Bacterial small subunit ribosomal RNA
Source: RNAcentral